Molecule: long non-coding RNA, 1926 nt
Organism: Ruditapes philippinarum (Manila clam)
Lineage: Eukaryota; Metazoa; Mollusca; Bivalvia; Venerida; Veneridae
Exons: 3
Source: RefSeq, a predicted model, not a curated record
UUGAGAGUUUUUGUUAAUGAUUGAGCAUGAUAUUGAAAGAAAAUUUUAUAAACUUUUGAAUAAAGCAUGAAAGGUCUUGACAAUAGACAUAAACUAUAAUAAUAUAAUAAGCCCAUAACAUCUGAUAUAUUGGACUAAGGAAAUAAUUGCAAGACAGUAGAUAUAUUCAAAAUCAUAGUCCAAUAUAUUUAAUGUAAUCGGCUUGUUAUAGUUUAUGAUGGUCAAGUUUGACGUCUAAUAGAUAUUGCUGAUAAAUGCAUAGCAACAUUAACAAUUUAAAAAAUGUUUAUUGCUAACCUUUCAAGCUUUAAUCAAAAUUUUAUCAAAUAAUGCUCAAUCAUUAAUAAAAAAUCUCAAACAGUGUUAUUGCCAAUUUAAUAUAAGAUACGUUUUGCCUAUCCACAAAACUGGUUAAGUAAAUUGCUCUACAGAUUGAUUCCAAAUUUUUUAACCGAAAAAUAUAUUGAUACAUGCUGACAGUGUAAUGUGAUUAUGUGUGCAUAGGCAAAUAUUUCUUUCAAAAAUAUUUUGUAACGUUUAAAACUUUUGACUCAUUUAAACACUUGCAUUCAGUUAGCCAAUCAAAUUUAGGGCACUGGGACAGUUUGACGGUCAUUUGUUUAUCGGCUCACUGUUUAAGGAUUUAAUUAUAAAAAAAGGAUUUAAACAUGAUUUUUCAAAUUUGACAGUUUGACUAUUUUAUGCAAAGGUAUUUCUAUUUUACUUUUGUUCAUGAAGAGCUCAAAAUUAAUUUAUAUGCUGAAUUACGUGUUUUAUCGUUUCGCAAGCAAAUCUUAUGCUAUGGUUUAUGAGCAUAAAUUUUAAAUAUGACGUUCAGCUUUGCCAAGAAGUAAAAUGACUCAAAACAAUGUCAUAUUUGGACUUUUCGAAAUCCGAGCUAAAAACUUUUUUUGGUACGUUCUGUACAUUCCAGAUUUGGUUCACCUAUAACUAACUUAAGAAAGAAAGACUCAGUGUCUAUUCUAGGACGCGCGAUUGCGCGAUUCACGCUAGUAUUUCACAGAUCGCGCACAAUUCAAAAUCAUGUGCGUGAAAAUCGCGCAUCUAUAAAAAAAGUUAAUAAAAUCGUAAAACUUUCAUCCCGCAUUAUAUUUGGUUGUUUUGUUUACAUUUACAUCGGAAACCGAAGGGAGUUAACUGUAAGCUAAUUAUAGUAAUUUAGUACCGUAUGGUACUGGUUACGAGAGUUGACGGAAAUUAACAGAAUGUUCCGUACCAACCGGAACUAGUGUGCUCGGUCUGACAGUUGGGCGCCAUUUUAGUGUAGUAAAUAAUCAAGAAAAACGAGGCAAUUCCUAGCUUGGCUACGAUCUAGAUGUGAAAGAUAGGUCGAUUGUUUGUAUUGUCAAUCCCUUUAUAAUCAAUCGCGGCAGUUCUGUAAUAAUCUGUUUUCGUUUAAAAAUUAAGGGGGGACAACUUCUGCUGCCUUAAAUAAAUAACGCCUCAGUGUAAACUUAAUGCAGACGAUUUAACAUUGGCAGUUUAUUUUGGCACCCCUUGAUUUUGAAAAUCGCCCCCUUUUUUGAAAUAGAGUGGGGAAAAUCACCCCUAUUUUUCAAUUCCUAGAAUAAACACUGAAGACUUAGUCACUACAUACUGAACCACUAGCCGAAAGAAUUAAAAACAAGAGAAGGGUUUAAAUGUUUAUUAAUUUAAUCCAAUAUUGUUUAAAAAAAUUAGAUACACACAUUUUGAAUUUCAGAUUUAUAAAGAUGGACCAAACAGAUCAGUGUUUCAUUUGUAAAGACAAUAUUAGAGCAAAGCAACAAAAACUACAAUGUACAGGUUGUUUUGUGAGCAUUCACAGGACAUGUACAAAAAUGACUCAGGCAAAGUACAGGGAAUAUGUUAAAGAUAAUCAAGUUAAUAGGAUAAAAUGUGAUAUCUGUGAUGCAAGUGGUAAAA